CCCGGCCCAGGCGCAGUGCAACAGGGGCAAUUGUCCAGGGCCCAAAGUUGAAUGGGGCACCCAAAAAACAAAAUCCAAAUAAUUAGGUAUAAAAAAAAAAUUUGUCCAAAGCCCAAAAUAAAGGUUGUAGGCGAUAACUUGUCCAGGUUUUGGGGAUUAAAAAUCAAUAUAACAUAAAGGGUAUCUGAAGGGGACAAGUCGUCCAGGUUUUGGGCAUGGAGGAGAGGCAUAAGAUUCAAGUUUUUCAAAGGGAGCUCCCUCUGCUUGGAGCUUGUCACCCAACUGCCUAAGCCCAAGCUAUUGAGAGGUGCAAGCAGCAGAUUUCAGAUGCAACCGCAAAUUACCUGCAUGGACAAUCUAAGUGUUCUGAGCAGACUUCAAGUGAGGGGCAUGUUUUUGAGGAAUUCAUUCCAUUAACACGGAUUUCAUACAACUCCAGAUGCACCACUCGAAGAGGGUAAUGGCAGGAGGAGCAAGUUAAAGGCUAUAGUGAUGGAGAUGAAGAGAAAUGGGGUGCUUUUCAGCCUUUCCAAAGGAAAAAAAAAGCAUUGGAAAGACAAAUUGACCAGUGGCUAAAGAACCUUCUUCGGCUCCGGCUACUAGUUCCACCACGGACACCGUGAAUGGAGACAGUGGUGGGAACAACAAGAACAAAGAGAAAGAUGGACAGGGAGACGAAGGCGAAACUGGUCACCGGAGUUGCACCGCCGGUUCUUGCAUGCUCUUCUCUUCAACAACUUGGUGGUUCACAUGGUAUGCAGUUGAGAUUAAUUUAGUGGGAUAUGUUAUUUUAUAUGAUUGGAUGAAUAUGUGAUUGGAUUGGGAUGUAUUGGAUGUGUUUAAUGCGUUCUGCGUAUAUGUGAUUUUCCAUCUUUUUUUAAUCAUAAUUUGGUUGAUGUGAAAAAUUUU
Molecule: non-coding RNA, 909 nt
Organism: Malus domestica (apple)
Lineage: Eukaryota; Viridiplantae; Streptophyta; Magnoliopsida; Rosales; Rosaceae
Source: RefSeq, a predicted model, not a curated record